GUGGGGAAUAUUGGACAAUGGGCGAAAGCCUGAUCCAGCCAUGCCGCGUGUGUGAAGAAGGUCUUCGGAUUGUAAAGCACUUUAAGUUGGGAGGAAGGGCAGUAAGUUAAUACCUUGCUGUUUUGACGUUACCGACAGAAUAAGCACCGGCUAACUUCGUGCCAGCAGCCGCGGUAAUACGAAGGGUGCAAGCGUUAAUCGGAAUUACUGGGCGUAAAGCGCGCGUAGGUGGUUUUGUCAGUUGGAGGUGAAAUCCCCGGGCUCAACCUGGGGACUGCCUCCAAAACUGCAAGACUAGAGGACGGUAGAGGGUAGUGGAAUUUCCUGUGUAGCGGUGAAAUGCGUAGAUAUAGGAAGGAACACCAGUGGCGAAGGCGACUACCUGGACUGAUACUGACACUGAGGUGCGAAAGCGUGGGGAGCAAACAGGAUUAGAUACCCGAGUAGUCC
RNAcentral lists this ribosomal RNA (450 nucleotides) under uncultured bacterium. RNAcentral describes it as "bacterial SSU rRNA". It matches the Rfam family "Bacterial small subunit ribosomal RNA", at positions 354 to 796 of the family's 1533-position model. The record is from RNAcentral.